GAAAGUAGCUCAGCGGUUAGAGCGCUGCGCUCAUAACGCAGAGGUCCCGGGUUCAAUUCCCGGCUUUC
This 68-nucleotide transfer RNA is filed under the name Nanohaloarchaea archaeon SW_7_43_1. RNAcentral describes it as "tRNA-Met". It matches the Rfam family "tRNA". From Rfam's summary of the family: Transfer RNA (tRNA) molecules are approximately 80 nucleotides in length. Lineage: Archaea; Methanobacteriati; Methanobacteriota; Candidatus Nanohaloarchaea. The record is from RNAcentral.